AUUCCAGCUCCAAUAGCGUAUAUUAAAGUUGUUGCAGUUAAAAAGCUCGUAGUUGAACUCCUGACUAUUGCGUAAGCCGGAUUCGUUCGCUCUCGUGAUAGUCAUCCGCUUGGGAACUCCGUUCGAACUUAACUGUUUGGCGGAAGGAACAGGCAUUUUACUUUGAAAAAAUUAGAGUGUUCAAGGCAGGCUAUAGCCCUGAAUACACAAGCAUGGAAUAAUGAGAUAGGACUGGUUCCAUUUUAUUGGUUAUUGGACUAGUAAUGAUUAAUAGGGACAGUUGGGGGCAUUAGUAUUUAAUUGUCAGAGGUGGAAUUCUCAGAUUUGUUAAAGACUAACUUAUGCGAAAGCAUUUGCCAAGGAUGUUUUCAUCA
RNAcentral lists this ribosomal RNA (374 nucleotides) under Askenasia sp. RNAcentral's name for it is "partial small subunit ribosomal RNA". It matches the Rfam family "Eukaryotic small subunit ribosomal RNA", at positions 582 to 975 of the family's 1831-position model. The record is from RNAcentral. Lineage: Eukaryota; Ciliophora; Litostomatea; Cyclotrichida; Mesodiniidae.